Molecule: ribosomal RNA, 157 nt
Filed under: uncultured bacterium
Lineage: Bacteria
Description: partial 16S ribosomal RNA
Rfam family: Bacterial small subunit ribosomal RNA
Source: RNAcentral
UGAGGAAUAUUGGUCAAUGGGCGGAAGCCUGAACCAGCCAAGCCGCGUGAGGGAAUAAGGCGCCAAGCGUCGUAAACCUCUUUUGUCAGGGAACAAAAGCGGGCACGCGUGCCCGUCCGAGUGUACCUGAAGAAAAAGCAUCGGCUAACUCCGUGCC